This 429-nucleotide ribosomal RNA is filed under the name Chloroflexota bacterium. Its description in RNAcentral is "Chloroflexi bacterium partial 16S ribosomal RNA". It matches the Rfam family "Bacterial small subunit ribosomal RNA", at positions 355 to 776 of the family's 1533-position model. Lineage: Bacteria; Bacillati; Chloroflexota. The record is from RNAcentral.
UGGGGAAUAUUGCACAAUGGGCGCAAGCCUGAUGCAGCCAUGCCGCGUGUAUGAAGAAGGCCUUCGGGUUGUAAAGUACUUUCAGUCGGGAGGAAGGUGGUAAGGUUAAUAACCUUGGCAAUUGACGUUACCGACAGAAGAAGCACCGGCUAACUCCGUGCCAGCAGCCGCGGUAAUACGGAGGGUGCAAGCGUUAAUCGGAAUUACUGGGCGUAAAGCGCACGCAGGCGGUUGAUUGAGUCAGAUGUGAAAUCCCCGGGCUUAACCCGGGAAUUGCAUCUGAUACUGGUCAGCUAGAGUCUUGUAGAGGGGGGUAGAAUUCCAUGUGUAGCGGUGAAAUGCGUAGAGAUGUGGAGGAAUACCGGUGGCGAAGGCGGCCCCCUGGACAAAGACUGACGAUCAGGUGCGAAAGCGUGGGGAGCAAACAGG